UAGAGACUUGCAUUAAUGGAAGACCACACAUAGACGCCCAAAGGGCCUAAAAAAGUGAUGUAAGGAUUGCUGACACUAUUCAAGCAAGUAGUCACUGA
Long non-coding RNA from Nanorana parkeri, 98 nucleotides. RefSeq lists it as uncharacterized. The record is from RefSeq and is a predicted model, not a curated record. Lineage: Eukaryota; Metazoa; Chordata; Amphibia; Anura; Dicroglossidae. The transcript has 3 exons.